AGUGAACGCUGGCGGUAGGCCUAACACAUGCAAGUCGAACGGCAGCACAGUAAGAGCUUGCUCUUGCGGGUGGCGAGUGGCGGACGGGUGAGGAAUACAUCGGAAUCUACUUUUUCGUGGGGGAUAACGUAGGGAAACUUACGCUAAUACCGCAUACGACCUACGGGUGAAAGCAGGGGAUCUUCGGACCUUGCGCGAUUGAAUGAGCCGAUGUCGGAUUAGCUAGUUGGCGGGGUAAAGGCCCACCAAGGCGACGAUCCGUAGCUGGUCUGAGAGGAUGGUCAGCCACACUGGAACUGAGACACGGUCAAGACGCCUAAGGGAGGCAGCAGUGGGGAAUAUUGGACAAUGGGCGCAAGCCUGAUCCAGCCAGACCGCGUGGGUGAAGAAGGCCUUCGGGUUGUAAAGCCCUUUUGUUGGGAAAGAAAAGCAGCAGGUUAAUACCCCGCUGUUCUGACGGUACCCAAAGAAUAAGCACCGGCUAACUUCGUG
This 492-nucleotide ribosomal RNA is filed under the name uncultured bacterium. RNAcentral's name for it is "partial 16S ribosomal RNA". It matches the Rfam family "Bacterial small subunit ribosomal RNA", at positions 29 to 507 of the family's 1533-position model. The record is from RNAcentral.